UACCAGCCGUGCUGGUCAACGUGCAUCCAUUUAACAGAUAUUUAUUGCACAUGUUGUGUCCUGAGCACUCGAGGUGGGAGCCGGAGAAGCAGCGCAAAGCUGAGGGAUCCCUGUGCAAGUUACAGUCAAGAGGUGCAGGGUCCACUCUGAACCUCGGCUUCUUUUUCUGUAAGUGGGGAGCUUGGGAAGAUGGCAGCGCCCCUCAGAAGUCCUUCUCCUCCACCCGCGGCGAAGCCCCGCCUCCAGGAGAAAGGAGGCACCGGAGGAGACCCCAGGGAGAGCCGGGGUGCCGCUGCUGGUGGAGUGGCCCCCUGAGGUCAUCUCCCCACCCUGGGCCUCGGUUUCCCCGUCGGUAAAGUGAGGAGACUGGACUGCACGAUUUCAAAAACUCGUCUGACUUAACCGUCUGUGACUCUCCGAUCGAAAUAUCUCUGAUUCUGCUAGGAGAACCCCUUGUGGCUCCAGGAAGGACCAUCCCCCUGUUCUGGGAGCAGAUCUUCUCCUGAAAAGCAGCAGAAAGGGACUCACUUCUUGCCAGGGGGAAGAACCCUGAGCUCCAUCUGGCUGCUCUUCGCUGUUGGGAGCUGAAAUCCGCAAAGGACUCCCAGCUGCACACCCCGCUCAGGUGGCUGGCCUGAUGCGCACGGUCUUCCCACACCCGGCUCUGCCUUCCCCAGCGGCUGCGACUGAGAAACGGGCAGAUGGGGGUCCUCAUCUGAAGACCUUUCGGCAUCAGUCCUAGUGGGUGCUGCGUCCCAGGUCACCCCUCGGCCUGCCUGGAGCUGUGUGGAAAUCCCAGCAGACCCGGGCCAGGGGGAGCAGGCUCUGCUUGGAAACAGCACAGGGGGCUGGGGCUGGAAGGCACGGUUCCCCUAGGACCCGGUCAUCGCAUCCCACGAGCAGCAUUUACUCUGACUGAAGACAUGG
Molecule: long non-coding RNA, 927 nt
Organism: Myotis brandtii (Brandt's bat)
Lineage: Eukaryota; Metazoa; Chordata; Mammalia; Chiroptera; Vespertilionidae
Exons: 3
Source: RefSeq, a predicted model, not a curated record